AUACGGAGGGUGCAAGCGUUGUCCGGAUUUAUUAGGUUUAAAGGGUGCGUAGGCGGCCCGUUAAGUCAGUGGUGAAAGGUAUCAGCUUAACUGAUAAAGUGCCAUUGAAACUGAAGGGCUUGAGUACAGACGAGGUAGGCGGAAUUUAUGGUGUAGCGGUGAAAUGCAUAGAUACCAUAAAGAACACCGAUAGCGAAGGCAGCUUACUAGAUUGAGACUGACGCUGAGGCACGAAAGCGUGGGGAGCGAACAGGAUUAGAAACCCCAGUAGUCC
RNAcentral lists this ribosomal RNA (274 nucleotides) under uncultured bacterium. Its description in RNAcentral is "partial 16S ribosomal RNA". It matches the Rfam family "Bacterial small subunit ribosomal RNA", at positions 523 to 796 of the family's 1533-position model. The record is from RNAcentral.